This 1343-nucleotide ribosomal RNA is filed under the name Flammeovirga agarivorans. RNAcentral's name for it is "bacterial SSU rRNA". It matches the Rfam family "Bacterial small subunit ribosomal RNA", at positions 1 to 1336 of the family's 1533-position model. Lineage: Bacteria; Pseudomonadati; Bacteroidota; Cytophagia; Cytophagales; Flammeovirgaceae. The record is from RNAcentral.
AAAUUGAAGAGUUUGAUCAUGGCUCAGAUUGAACGCUGGCGGCAGGCCUAACACAUGCAAGUCGAGCGGUAGCACAGAGAGCUUGCUCUCGGGUGACGAGCGGCGGACGGGUGAGUAAUGUCUGGGAAACUGCCUGAUGGAGGGGGAUAACUACUGGAAACGGUAGCUAAUACCGCAUAACGUCGCAAGACCAAAGUGGGGGACCUUCGGGCCUCAUGCCAUCAGAUGUGCCCAGAUGGGAUUAGCUAGUAGGUGGGGUAACGGCUCACCUAGGCGACGAUCCCUAGCUGGUCUGAGAGGAUGACCAGCCACACUGGAACUGAGACACGGUCCAGACUCCUACGGGAGGCAGCAGUGGGGAAUAUUGCACAAUGGGCGCAAGCCUGAUGCAGCCAUGCCGCGUGUGUGAAGAAGGCCUUCGGGUUGUAAAGCACUUUCAGCGGGGAGGAAGGCGGUGAGGUUAAUAACCUCAUCGAUUGACGUUACCCGCAGAAGAAGCACCGGCUAACUCCGUGCCAGCAGCCGCGGUAAUACGGAGGGUGCAAGCGUUAAUCGGAAUUACUGGGCGUAAAGCGCACGCAGGCGGUCUGUCAAGUCGGAUGUGAAAUCCCCGGGCUCAACCUGGGAACUGCAUUCGAAACUGGCAGGCUAGAGUCUUGUAGAGGGGGGUAGAAUUCCAGGUGUAGCGGUGAAAUGCGUAGAGAUCUGGAGGAAUACCGGUGGCGAAGGCGGCCCCCUGGACAAAGACUGACGCUCAGGUGCGAAAGCGUGGGGAGCAAACAGGAUUAGAUACCCUGGUAGUCCACGCCGUAAACGAUGUCGAUUUGGAGGUUGUGCCCUUGAGGCGUGGCUUCCGGAGCUAACGCGUUAAAUCGACCGCCUGGGGAGUACGGCCGCAAGGUUAAAACUCAAAUGAAUUGACGGGGGCCCGCACAAGCGGUGGAGCAUGUGGUUUAAUUCGAUGCAACGCGAAGAACCUUACCUGGUCUUGACAUCCACAGAACUUUCCAGAGAUGGAUUGGUGCCUUCGGGAACUGUGAGACAGGUGCUGCAUGGCUGUCGUCAGCUCGUGUUGUGAAAUGUUGGGUUAAGUCCCGCAACGAGCGCAACCCUUAUCCUUUGUUGCCAGCGGUCCGGCCGGGAACUCAAAGGAGACUGCCAGUGAUAAACUGGAGGAAGGUGGGGAUGACGUCAAGUCAUCAUGGCCCUUACGACCAGGGCUACACACGUGCUACAAUGGCAUAUACAAAGAGAAGCGACCUCGCGAGAGCAAGCGGACCUCAUAAAGUAUGUCGUAGUCCGGAUUGGAGUCUGCAACUCGACUCCAUGAAGUCGGAAUCGCU